CUCCCACCCUAGGAGAGCUUGCAGGCCAGUGGUGAGGUCUGAUGACUAUAAACCAGGGCCAAAGCUGCUAAAGUAAUGACAGGAAGGCCACACAUUUCUCUGAACACUCACCAUGGGCCAGGGUCUCUGCUAAAAACCCAGUUAGCAUGAACACAUUCAAACCCCAGAACAGCCCUACUUGGUAGGGGCAUGUUCCUGUCUGCCAAGUUCCCUGACUCCAAACAGCCCUAGGAGGGUCCUGGGGACACAGCAGGGUAGGAGCCUCUGGCCUGGGGUUAAAUGUCCUUCGGCAUCCCAGAAAGAAAACACAUGAGUGAGCCUUGCUUCCGUGAAGAGGCACUUGACAGGUGGAAAGUUAUUACAGGCAGUAGAAUCAGUGUGGCUGAAGAAAGACACAUGCGAUUCCACUGAACGCUCUCAGCCACCCUAGAUCCUGUUAUUGUGCCCAUUUCCAGAGAUCAGAGGGGUCAAGUGAGUUGCUCUAGGACACACAGGAGACAAUGUUACAGAUUCCUACAUCUGGUCACCAAACCACUAGAUCUUCUGUCUCCAGAUGAUUAAUAAUGUCAUAGCUACACUUCAGGAAGAGCCUCCUCAAGGGCUAGUUUGGUCUCAGAUGUCGGAAAGUCUGGGCCAGAAUGUGAGGACACCAAGGGCUCUGCUAUGUAGCUUGGACUUGAGAUUGAGUGAACACUUUGUAAGCCAGGCAUGCAGAGGCAGACUCUGGAAGGCUUGUUCUAGAAGGACACCCCCAAGAGCUCCCACCCCUUUUGCAGGAAGCCUGACUCUCCCAGACCACAGCCCGACGCCCAGCCAUGCUGACGUCCAGACUCUACACAAGGGCCUCAGAGAGGGGACAAGAUGUGAUGCCACGACCCCCAGCAACCCCCCUCCUCCCAACACCACCGUCCCUAUCUUGGGCCUGGGGGAAGGAGAAAAUGAAGCGGGAUAUGGAAGAGCCUAGAGCUGUGCCUGGCACAGAGACAGGGUCCAUUAUCUGUGUGAGCCUCCGUGGGACUGGAACUCUCCAGACACCACUUCUGUGGCAGGAGACGCAGAAUGGCCGGCACGGGGUAAGGAAGGCAGCCUUGACUGUGUUCUGCCCCACGGUGCUGUUUUCCUUCUGCAGGCGGCUGUGGCUGUUUUGGGGGGUGGGGUGGCUAGGCUUAGCUCUUAGCCAGAGAUGUCUUAGCAUUUGAUGUGAUACUGCUGUUGUUUUUGGCUCUACAUCCAAGACUCCUGCGUGGCUAAUUACUCAUUGUCUUGGAAGCCUGGCGCAGGAGCCUGAGGAAGGAGGGUGGAAAGGGCUGGUUGCUGUUUUUCUCCUGGUUAAAGAAGCAGUGGCACUGGAGUGAUGAGUUAAGCCUUUUGCAUGAUCUCAGCUGAACUGAGAAAUAAUCUAUAUACAAUAAAAUGCACAUGAUUUAGGACA
RNAcentral lists this long non-coding RNA (1432 nucleotides) under Bos indicus x Bos taurus (hybrid cattle). RNAcentral's name for it is "lncRNA (ENSBIXG00005019299.1)". The record is from RNAcentral. Lineage: Eukaryota; Metazoa; Chordata; Mammalia; Artiodactyla; Bovidae.